Molecule: ribosomal RNA, 497 nt
Filed under: uncultured bacterium
Lineage: Bacteria
Description: partial 16S ribosomal RNA
Rfam family: Bacterial small subunit ribosomal RNA
Source: RNAcentral
GAUGAACGCUGGCUGCGUGCCUAAUACAUGCAAGUCGAGCGAACGGACGAGAAGCUUGCUUCUCUGAUGUUAGCGGCGGACGGGUGAGUAACACGUGGAUAACCUACCUAUAAGACUGGGAUAACUUCGGGAAACCGGAGCUAAUACCGGAUAAUAUUUUGAACCGCAUGGUUCAAAAGUGAAAGACGGUCUUGCUGUCACGUAUAGAUGGAUCCGCGCUGCAUUAGCUAGUUGGUAAGGUAACGGCUGACCAAGGCAACGAUGCAUAGCCGACCUGAGAGGGUGAGCGGCCACACUGGAACUGAGACACGGUCCAGACUCCUACGGGAGGCAGCAGUAGGGAAUCUUCCGCAAUGGGCGAAAGCCUGACGGAGCAACGCCGCGUGAGUGAUGAAGGUCUUCGGAUCGUAAAACUCUGUUAUUAGGGAAGAACAUAUGUGUAAGUAACUGUGCACAUCUUGACGGUACCUAAUCAGAAAGCCACGGCUAGCUACGUG